UAUAGCGGCCAUAUCUUGUUUAAAGCACCGGUUCUCUUCUGAUCACAAAAGUUAAGCAACGUUGGGCUCGGUUAGUACUUGCAUAGUGUGCGUCGGUAGAU
This 101-nucleotide ribosomal RNA is filed under the name Trichobilharzia regenti. Lineage: Eukaryota; Metazoa; Platyhelminthes; Trematoda; Strigeidida; Schistosomatidae. The record is from RNAcentral.